RNAcentral lists this ribosomal RNA (253 nucleotides) under uncultured bacterium. RNAcentral describes it as "partial 16S ribosomal RNA". It matches the Rfam family "Bacterial small subunit ribosomal RNA", at positions 524 to 776 of the family's 1533-position model. The record is from RNAcentral.
UACGUAGGUGACCAGCGUUGUCCGGAUUUACUGGGCGUAAAGGGCUCGUAGGUGGCCAACUAAGUCAGACGUGAAAUCCCUCGGCUUAACCGGGGAACUGCGUCUGAUACUGGAUGGCUUGAGUUCGGGAGAGGGAUGCGGAAUUCCAGGUGUAGCGGUGAAAUUCGUAGAUAUCGAGAGGAACACCGGUGGCGAAGGCGGCUUUCUGGACGGUUACUGACGCUGAGACGCGAAAGCGUGGGGAGCAAACGGG